This is a long non-coding RNA of Callithrix jacchus (white-tufted-ear marmoset), 994 nucleotides long. The record is from Ensembl. NCBI's taxonomy places the organism in Eukaryota, Metazoa, Chordata, Mammalia, Primates, Cebidae.
GUUUGCAGAUUAGAUUCACAUGAAGACUUAGCUCCCUCUCUGCUCCUGCUAAGUCUAAGGAAUGCAAAUUUUGCCUUUGCAAAAAUUAACAUCAUGCUCCUAGCAAGAAAGCAGGUGACAAGCUCAGCAGCUCUGCUUCAGUUUGUUUUUCUCCAUGGCAGGAACAUGUGCCCCUGAGUGGGCACUGUUAGUGGAAUCGGUAGGAACGCAAAUGCAAAGGCAGGGAGAUAAAGGUGAGUCAGGAAGGAGAAAGCGGCACUUGGGGGCAGAACAGAACACCAAAAAAGCCAGGUGAUGGAAACAAGGCAAACCAUCAUUAGCCCAAGUUAACAGAAGCAAGUUGACUCAUGCAGCCGUGGGAAAAGCUAAGGUUGCUUGCAUGGACAUGGUGAGUCAUCUAAUGUGUAAGUCAAGCUACCAGCUAUAAUUAAUCUUGUACGUGGACACAAAGUCGAGUAUUUUGAACAUGAGCUAAUGAGAUUGACCUGUAGGAUCAUGCAGCUCUAACAGCUGAGUAGGCAAAUCAAGGAUAAAGGAAAAAGCUGGGGGUGCCCUUGGGCAGUCCCUUUCUUUGUGGCCUGUGCAUUUGCCUGUGUGGUGCUCUCUGUGGGAUGCAGGCUGAGCUGGAUGAAAUUUGCCCCACCCACGCUGCCCUCAAGUUGCUCCUUAUUUAUAGUACUAUUCCAGGAGGAUGUCUUCUGCAGUACAAGUACGUGAGAAGAAAGCUGUCUGUGACGAGACGGGCCCUCACUCUGAAUCUGCCAGUGCCUUGAUCUUGGCCUUCCCAGCCUCCGGAAUUGUGAGAUAUAAAUUUCUUUUAUUCAUAAGCCACCCUGUUGUAUUUUGUUACAGUAGAUUAAACAGACUAAGAUGCCAUCCCAACUUCAGAGACUGCAAAAAGGCAAAAAAAAAAAUGUUUAAAGUGAUGAACUUUGGUAUUAAAACUGAUAACUCAGUGUAUGGAGUUCUAACUAAAUGGCAGACCCUGUUCUGA